AGUGAACGCUGGCGGUAGGCCUAACACAUGCAAGUCGAACGGCAGCACAGUAAGAGCUUGCUCUUACGGGUGGCGAGUGGCGGACGGGUGAGGAAUACAUCGUAAUCUACUUUUUCGUGGGGGAUAACGUAGGGAAACUUACGCUAAUACCGCAUACGACCUACGGUUGAAAGCAGGGGAUCUUCGGACCUUGCGCGAUUGAAUGAGCCGAUGUCGGAUUAGCUAGUUGGCGGGGUAAAGGCCCACCAAGGCGACGAUCCGUAGCUGGUCUGAGAGGAUGAUCAGCCACACUGGAACUGGGACACGGUCCAGACUCCUACGGGAGGCAGCAGUGGGGAAUAUUGGACAAUGGGCGCAAGCCUGAUCCAGCCAUACCGCGUGGGUGAAGAAGGCCUUCGGGUUGUAAAGCCCUUUUGUUGGGAAAGAAAAGCAGCAGGUUAAUACCCCGCUGUUCUGACGGUACCCAAAGAAUAAGCACCGGCUAACUUCGUG
RNAcentral lists this ribosomal RNA (492 nucleotides) under uncultured bacterium. RNAcentral's name for it is "partial 16S ribosomal RNA". It matches the Rfam family "Bacterial small subunit ribosomal RNA", at positions 29 to 507 of the family's 1533-position model. The record is from RNAcentral.